AAAUCACUCCCGUGCAUUGCAGUGCAAUACAAAUCGCGAAGGCUUCUGUUUAACAACCAUCAAUCAGAUUAUUGUUCUCGUAGUGCACAGAUUCCACCUUCAAAAAUGUUACCGCUAGCACCGAGUCCCCACCAUUCAUCUAGAUAAACUGUGCAAGGAAUAAUUUCGCAGUUUCAGACGGAGUCCUACCAAUCAUACCAUUUGUUGACAGUUCUGCCCCGGCCUUUUUCGAAUGAAAUUUCCAAUUGCCUAAAUGAAAUGACGUGCGCACAACAGCUGCUAAGAGGUGAAGCAAUUAUAAAUAUUAGUACAAGGAAGUGAAAUUUAUUUUAUGAGCCCUUAAAAUGCGCCAUUUAAGGACCGGGAGAGUUUACUGAAGGAUUGGUACUCGUAGUGAGAUCGCUUUCCGUUACUAUGGGGUCCACAACUAUCGGUGUCUUGUUCAAAGGACUGGUCGGGCUCACGAUAGACGGCAACCACAAAAAUCGACGUUAUACGCUUAUCGCACGCAACGGCUAGGGCUUAUGUUGGUUCCGACGGAGUCGCCGGAGUUCUCGACAAUUAGAUUGGUGGUACUAUAGCAGAGAGUGUAGAUUUUUUCAAAGCGCCAGGGAAAAGUAGAAGUGAUAGGCCGUCGACUAAU
Molecule: long non-coding RNA, 643 nt
Organism: Topomyia yanbarensis
Lineage: Eukaryota; Metazoa; Arthropoda; Insecta; Diptera; Culicidae
Exons: 3
Source: RefSeq, a predicted model, not a curated record